AAAUCACGACUCUCGGCAACGGAUAUCUUGGCUCUUGCAUCGAUGAAGAACGUAGCGAAAUGCGAUACUUGGUGUGAAUUGCAGAAUCCCGUGAACCAUCGAGUCUUUGAACGCAAGUUGCGCCCGAGACCUUUAGGUUGAGGGCACACCUGCUUGGGCGUCA
RNAcentral lists this ribosomal RNA (163 nucleotides) under Saruma henryi. Its description in RNAcentral is "5.8S ribosomal RNA". It matches the Rfam family "5.8S ribosomal RNA". Rfam says of the family: 5.8S ribosomal RNA (5.8S rRNA) is a component of the large subunit of the eukaryotic ribosome. It is transcribed by RNA polymerase I as part of the 45S precursor that also contains 18S and 28S rRNA. The record is from RNAcentral. Lineage: Eukaryota; Viridiplantae; Streptophyta; Magnoliopsida; Piperales; Asaraceae.